Molecule: long non-coding RNA, 1815 nt
Filed under: Equus asinus (donkey)
Lineage: Eukaryota; Metazoa; Chordata; Mammalia; Perissodactyla; Equidae
Description: lncRNA (ENSEASG00005024435.1)
Source: RNAcentral
GCUGAAGAGGCAGCCGCUUUCCUAGGUCAGCCGCAGCGAGUUGGGGCAACUGAGUUGGCGCCAUCCUCCCUUUAAAAUAAUAGGCCAUUCAGUCUUGGGGAGAGAAAUGAAUCAGCAACCCCAGGGCCAUUCCAGCAGCCCAAACAGCUGCCAGCUGGGCAGCCCAUUGCAAACAACCAAUUAGUAUGAGUCCCACAAGCUGAUUUGAGCAAAUCCAGGCACCUCUCCCUGUAGAAACUAGCAAGGCACACAUGUCUGCACGGAAAAUGAAGUUGUUCCACCUUCCGUGGCGCCGUUCCACUCCAAGGAACAAGCUUUAUUUCUCUCAAAACUUGGCUUCCCUUGACUUGCCAGAUGAAAAAUGAUGAGAAGUGCCUGAAAUCAUCUGCUCCGGGAAAUGAAUCCAAGCUCAGCGAAAGACCGUUGGGCUGCUUUUUCAAAGCACAUCCAUCAGCCUGUCUUAUACGUGAACUAGGAUUUUGCUACCAGUUGAGCGAGCAAAUAAAUGCAGAGUGAAUUCAGCUGUGCGAUGACAGGGGCUUUCCCCUCAGAUGGACUGAGUCAUAAUUCAUCAUUCGAUGCCUGAUGAAGAGGCUGCACAGCCCCGGAGACUACACAGGCAUGAGAUGCCAACAGUGCUUGGUUUACCCUCGGUCCAAUACUGCCCUUGGUGCAUGGGGACCCUUGUAGGAAAUGGGACACAACAAGGUUGUAUGGUAAUUAGUGAAACAAUAAUGUAAGAUAUUUUCAGCUCCAUUGCUGAAACGAAAUAAGGAAAUCCCAAGGAUCUAAACUAUUUUCACUCAACAUCAUCUUAGACCAUUCUUUUGAUGUUAAAUAUAUGCAUUUCUGGACCGGGAGGAAGGGAAAGAGAGGGAGAGGGAGAUGGAGCGAGAGCAAAGGCCACCUUGUUCUGGGAAGACUUUGACCAAACUAGGCUAAUACAGCGGAAAAGACAGGCAGCUGAUAGUCUUUUUUGCACAUGUAGCACAUUUGAAGUUUCUGCUUUCAUUAGUGCCUCUCUGUGUUAUCUGAAAAGUCUAUCACUAAGCAAAAACUGACAGUGCUUCAAGGAGUAAUUGCCAAAUCCGUGAUCAGAGUGGGAGAUUUAACAUACUUUUCUCAGUAAUUGAGAGAUCAAACAGCCAAAAAUAGUCAGUAAAGUUAUAAAGAUUUUGCACAACAUGACUAACAAGUUUGACGUAAAGGACUUUUAGAGAGCGCUGCACUGAGCCACUGGGAAAUACACAUUCUUUCCAAAGUCACAGAUUACAUUUAUGAAAACUGAUGAUGAAUUAGGGCAUAAAGCAAAUUUAAAAUCUCGACAAAUGUCAAGGAAUCAGUCUCAGAAGACUGCAUCACAAUUAAGUUAGAAAAUAGUAAAAAUUGUAACUUAAAACCUCCAUACAUUUAAAAGCACACUUUUUAAAAAUCCAGAGCCAGAAAGCCGAUCGUGGUUGCCAGAGGCUGGGAGGGGAGAGGAAUGUGGAGUGACUGCUCAGCGGGCUGGGGUUUUCUUUUGGGGUAAUGAAACUGUGUUGGAACCAGAUAGAGAUGGUGGUUGCACAACCCUGUGAAUGUCCUAAAUGCUGCUGAAUUGUGCACUUCCAUGUGGUUAACUUUGUGUUAUGUGAAUUUCACCUCAAUAAAAAAAGUGCUCAUAUCUCUGUGUGUUUAAAUCCUAACUUGGGGAUACGUGGGUGUGCACAGUUUGUGAAACUUUUUCAAGCUAUACACUUAAUUCCAUGUAUACUUUUCUGUGUCAUAUGUAUGUGUUUAUAUUUUCUGUAUUAUCCUUCUUCAAUAAAGAGUUUA